Molecule: long non-coding RNA, 1508 nt
Organism: Scylla paramamosain (green mud crab)
Lineage: Eukaryota; Metazoa; Arthropoda; Malacostraca; Decapoda; Portunidae
Exons: 3
Source: RefSeq, a predicted model, not a curated record
CUGCCCUCAUUGUCCUAAGUAUUCCUUCCUUACCCAUUUUCUUUCCUCCUAAACCUUUUUCAUCCCUCUUUUCUUCCCUCCGUCAAUUAAUCAGUUCAACUUUUCCUUAGUUUUUUUUUUCCCUUCCCUACUGAUUUGUUUCCCCAUCGCCAAUUAGACACCACGGGAAAAAUACAUCGAGGGACACUUUUGUUCCCCAUCAGCAUCAGAGGAAGGAAGUAAAUACCACUGAUUGUAACAAAACAUGGCCUCCUCUGCUCUCCUGGGACCGUCCUGGUGAGAGAGAGAGAGAGAGAGAGAGAGAGAGAGAGAGAGAGAGUGGGGGUGGUGGGGCUCGUGGGGAAGGGAUAGAGAUGGGGAGAAUCGAAGUCAGUUUCCAGGGAGGUAAUAGAGAAGGGGACUUUUUAUGCAAGAGGGGCACUGGUCAAAGGCAACAAAAUAUAUACCUAUGAAAAGAAAGAGCCAAAAAAGUUUAACACAAAUGAGAGAAGUGUCUUGAGACCUCGCUCUCGAAAGAAUUCAAUUUAUAGGAAGGGGGAAAUACAGAAGCAGGCAGGGAGUUCCAGAGUUUACCAGAAAAAGGGAUGAAAGAUUGAAAAUACUGGUUAACUUUUGCAUUAGAGAGGUGGACAGAAUAGGGGUGAGCAAAAGUAGAAAGUCGUGUGCAACGAGGGCGCGGGAGGAUGGAAGGCAUGCAGUUAGCAAGAUCAGAAGAACAGUUGACGAGAAAAUAGCGAUAGAAGAUAGCAGGAGAUGCAACAUUGCGGGGAAGAGAGAGAGGCUGAAGACAUUCAGUUAGAGGAGAGGAGCUGGUAAGACGAAAGGCUGGUCUGGUCUGGGGGGACAGUCUCGUUAGGGGGACAGUAACCUGAUGAAGCGAGCAAACACGCGGUUCAAGAUUGUCCCAGAAACGAGUAAUCAUUGGUGACCGUCCUUAGCUCGGGACAGGACCAUCAGCUGGGCGGCGGCGGUAGUGGUGGCGACGGCGGUUGUGGUGGUAAGGUUAAACGAAGAGGAAGAAAAGGAAGAGAAGUAAAAGGAAAAGCCAGAGGAGGAGAAAGAAAAAUAGAAGAAGGCGCGAGAGAAGGAGAUGAGGAGGAGAAGGAGGAAAGCGCUAUAGAAGAAAGAAGAGCACCUCCCGCCUCGCGCCUUCCUUCCUCCCGUCUCCCGGAGUGUACACACCUGCACUCUUGAGGCUGCUGGCGAGAAGAACUGUGUCCCAAGCCCUCCACCAUGGCCGCCGCUCCGAAAGUUUGCGUCCGUCGCGCGAAGCUCAUCUUCCUGAUGGAGAACGCAGGCAAGGACGUCUUGACCUUCGUGUUGAAGCGCGGCGCGCUGAACGCCCCCGCCACGCCGCCAGGCCAGUCCCUCAUUGACUACCUUGACAACCUCCCUCAAGGCUCGACAGCCAACUAUGGCAGGAUGAGUAACAAACAAAAGAAAGCAGCACUGAACCACAGUUCAGUGCUGCUUAUCCUCUGACGUGACUACUUUAUUCAUUAUUUUUU